UACGUAGGGUGCGAGCGUUAAUCGGAAUUAUUGGGCGUAAAGGGUGCGUAGGCGGUUUGGUAAGUCUCUUGUGAAAUUUAUGGGCUCAACUCAUAAACUGCAAGGGAAACUGCCGGGCUUGAGUAUGGGAGAGGUGAGUGGAAUUCCUGGUGUAGCGGUGAAAUGCGUAGAUAUCAGGAGGAACACCUGUGGCGAAAGCGGCUCACUGGACCAUAACUGACGCUGAUGCACGAAAGCUAGGGGAGCAAACAGG
Molecule: ribosomal RNA, 253 nt
Filed under: uncultured bacterium
Lineage: Bacteria
Description: partial 16S ribosomal RNA
Rfam family: Bacterial small subunit ribosomal RNA
Source: RNAcentral